UACGUAGGGUGCAAGCGUUGUCCGGAAUUAUUGGGCGUAAAGAGCUCGUAGGCGGCUCGUCGCGUCGGCUGUGAAAACUCAGGGCUUAACCCUGAGCCUGCUUCCGAUACGGGCAGACUAGAGGUAUGCAGGGGGAGAACGGAAUUCCUGGUGUAGCGGUGAAAUGCGCAGAUAUCAGGAGGAACACCGGUGGCGAAGGCGGUUCUCUGGGCAUUACCUGACGCUGAGGAGCGAAAGUGUGGGGAGCGAACAGG
This 254-nucleotide ribosomal RNA is filed under the name uncultured bacterium. RNAcentral describes it as "partial 16S ribosomal RNA". It matches the Rfam family "Bacterial small subunit ribosomal RNA", at positions 524 to 776 of the family's 1533-position model. The record is from RNAcentral.